RNAcentral lists this unclassified non-coding RNA (215 nucleotides) under soil metagenome. Its description in RNAcentral is "partial contains 5.8S ribosomal RNA, internal transcribed spacer 2, and large subunit ribosomal RNA". The record is from RNAcentral.
AAGACUAUAGACCUGCGGAGUACCUGCGGAGGGAUCAUCAUUGAAAAUUUGCAAGACUUUAUCGGAGUUUUUGCGAAGCAAACAAUUUAUUUAACACCCAAAAAGUUUAAAGUAAGCUUAGGCUGCUUUACUUGACAAAAAUGAGUGGUUGCCUGACUGCAGAAAAAGUGUUUUGGUGUUGGGAAAUUGAAAACAACUUUUAGCAACGGAUCUCU